Dendrobium catenatum is the source of this 621-nucleotide long non-coding RNA. RefSeq lists it as uncharacterized. The transcript has 3 exons. Lineage: Eukaryota; Viridiplantae; Streptophyta; Magnoliopsida; Asparagales; Orchidaceae. The record is from RefSeq and is a predicted model, not a curated record.
UAUUGCGCUCUUGGUAUCUGCUGCUAACUUCUGACUGCCAUUUCCUCCGCAGAUCAGGUAGGCUUGACUCCUGAAGAGGUUAUUUCUAAAAUUAUGGCAAAUCCUGAUGUUGCUUUGGCAUUUCAAAACCCUAAAGUGCAAGCUGCAAUCAUGGACUGCUCUCAGAAUCCUCUCAGCAUCGCUAAGUAUCAAAAUGACAAGGAGGUUAUGGAUGUGUUCACCAAGAUUUCGGAACUCUUUCCUGGAGUGACUGGCAGCCUCUAAGUUCUUUUCUUCUGGUUGAUUCCCCAACUUCUGAAGACUAGCGAGGUAAAAACUGGCUAAUCCCUGAUCCAGUUUCAUCUCAGAUCACGAACCACAACGCUUGAUUUGUCAGCUUAGGUCUAUUUUAUAGCCCCAUUGGAUGUGCUUGUAAUUCGGAAGAGAGCAAAUUUGUGAGUGCUCCGAUUACUUCUGUAUAACCUUCUCUGUCUGUGCAAAGCAGAUUGUGAUAUAUGAAACAUGGAAAAUAGCACGUCUUGUAAUAGGCUGUGAGCAGGCUUAAAAGAGUCGAUUGCAUAUUUUUUUUAUUAUAUGUAGAGUCUUUGGGAUCGCUUAAUGAUAUUGGAUGGUUAAAUUCCA